CCUACGGGAGGCAGCAGUGAGGAAUAUUGGUCAAUGGACGAGAGUCUGAACCAGCCAAGUAGCGUGAAGGAUGACUGCCCUAUGGGUUGUAAACUUCUUUUAUAUGGGAAUAAAAUGUUCCACGUGUGGGAUUUUGUAUGUACCAUAUGAAUAAGGAUCGGCUAACUCCGUGCCAGCAGCCGCGGUAAUACGGAGGAUCCGAGCGUUAUCCGGAUUUAUUGGGUUUAAAGGGAGCGUAGGUGGAUUGUUAAGUCAGAUGUGAAAGUUUGCGGCUCAACCGUAAAAUUGCAGUUGAAACUGGCAGUCUUGAGUACAGUAGAGGUGGGCGGAAUUCGUGGUGUAGCGGUGAAAUGCUUAGAUAUCACGAAGAACUCCGAUUGCGAAGGCAGUUCACUGGACUGCAACUGACACUGAGGCUCGAAAGUGUGGGUAUCAAACAGGAUUAGAUACCCCAGUAGUC
This 460-nucleotide ribosomal RNA is filed under the name uncultured bacterium. RNAcentral's name for it is "partial 16S ribosomal RNA". It matches the Rfam family "Bacterial small subunit ribosomal RNA", at positions 338 to 795 of the family's 1533-position model. The record is from RNAcentral.